AGAGUUUGAUCCUGGCUCAGAUUGAACGCUGGCGGCAUGCCUUACACAUGCAAGUCGAACGGCAGCACGGGGGCAACCCUGGUGGCGAGUGGCGAACGGGUGAGUAAUGCAUCGGAACGUGCCCAGUAGUGGGGGAUAACUAGUCGAAAGAUUAGCUAAUACCGCAUACGACCUAUGGGUGAAAGCGGGGGACCGUAAGGCCUCGCGCUAUUGGAGCGGCCGAUGUCUGAUUAGCUAGUUGGUGGGGUAAAGGCCCACCAAGGCGACGAUCAGUAGCUGGUCUGAGAGGACGACCAGCCACACUGGGACUGAGACACGGCCCAGACUCCUACGGGAGGCAGCAGUGGGGAAUUUUGGACAAUGGGCGCAAGCCUGAUCCAGCCAUGCCGCGUGCGGGAAGAAGGCCUUCGGGUUGUAAACCGCUUUUGGCAGGAACGAAACGGCGCGAGUGAAUACCUCGCGUUAAUGACGGUACCUGCAGAAUAAGCACCGGCUAACUACGUGCCAGCCGCCGCGGUAAUAC
This 523-nucleotide ribosomal RNA is filed under the name uncultured bacterium. Its description in RNAcentral is "bacterial SSU rRNA". It matches the Rfam family "Bacterial small subunit ribosomal RNA", at positions 8 to 526 of the family's 1533-position model. The record is from RNAcentral.